GAUGAACGCUAGCGGGAGGCCUAACACAUGCAAGCCGAGCGGUAGAGAUUCUUCGGAAUCUUGAGAGCGGCGUACGGGUGCGGAACACGUGUGCAACCUACCUGUAUCUGGAGGAUAGCCUUUCGAAAGGAAGAUUAAUACUCCAUAAUAUAUUUGAUGGCAUCAUUAAAUAUUGAAAGCUCCGGCGGAUAGAGAUGGGCACGCGCAAGAUUAGCUAGUUGGUGAGGUAACGGCUCACCAAGGCAAUGAUCUUUAGGGGCCUGAGAGGGUGAUCCCCACACUGGUACUGAGACACGGACCAGACUCCUACGGGAGGCAGCAGUGAGGAAUAUUGGGUCAAAUGGGUGCAAGCCUGAACCAGCCAUCCCGCGUGAAGGACGACCGCCCUAUGGGUUGUAAACUUCUUUUGUAUAGGGAUAAACCUACUCUCGUGAGAGUAGCUGAAGGUACUAUACGAAUAAGCACCGGCUAACUCCGUGCCAGCAGCCGCGGUAAU
RNAcentral lists this ribosomal RNA (496 nucleotides) under uncultured bacterium. RNAcentral describes it as "bacterial SSU rRNA". It matches the Rfam family "Bacterial small subunit ribosomal RNA", at positions 28 to 524 of the family's 1533-position model. The record is from RNAcentral.